Molecule: ribosomal RNA, 463 nt
Filed under: uncultured bacterium
Lineage: Bacteria
Description: partial 16S ribosomal RNA
Rfam family: Bacterial small subunit ribosomal RNA
Source: RNAcentral
GACGAACGCUGGCGGUGCGCCUCAUACAUGCAAGUCGAACGAGCCUUCGGGCUAGUGGCGGACGGGUGAGUAACGCGUAGAUAACGUGCCUCUUACUGGGGGAUAACACCGGGAAACUGGUGCUAAUACCGCAUAAGAUGCAGGGGGAAGUUCCCUGUAUUUAAAGAUUUAUUGGUAAGAGAUCGGUCUGCGUCUGAUUAGUUAGUUGGUGGGGUAAAGGCCUACCAAGACGAUGAUCAGUAGUUGGUCUGAGAGGAUGAUCAGCCACAGUGGAACUGAGACACGGUCCACACUCCUACGGGAGGCAGCAGUAGGGAAUUUUGCGCAAUGGGCGAAAGCCUGACGCAGCGACACCGCGUGGAGGAUGAAGGUUUUCGGAUCGUAAACUCCUUUUGGCAGGGAAGAAAAAUGACGGUACCUGCAGAAUAAGCACCGGCUAACUACGUGCCAGCCGCCGCCGUAA